Molecule: ribosomal RNA, 253 nt
Filed under: uncultured bacterium
Lineage: Bacteria
Description: partial 16S ribosomal RNA
Rfam family: Bacterial small subunit ribosomal RNA
Source: RNAcentral
UACGGAGGGUGCAAGCGUUGUCCGGAUUUAUUGGGUUUAAAGGGUGCGUAGGUGGUUUGAUAAGUCCGGGGUGAAAGCCCGUCGCUCAACGACGGAACUGCCCUGGAUACUGUCAGACUUGAGGGUAGACGAGGUUGGCGGAAUAGAAGGUGUAGCGGUGAAAUGCAUAGAUACCUUCUAGAACCCCAAUUGCGAAGGCAGCUGACUAGGCUGGUACUGACACUGAGGCACGAAAGCGUGGGGAGCGAACAGG